UGUGGGAGCGGGCUUGCUCGCGAAGCAAGCGGCGCGGUUUAUCGUUUAAACCGCGUUGAUCCUUUCGCGAGCAAGCCCGCUCCCACA
Molecule: unclassified non-coding RNA, 87 nt
Filed under: Pseudomonas psychrophila
Lineage: Bacteria; Pseudomonadati; Pseudomonadota; Gammaproteobacteria; Pseudomonadales; Pseudomonadaceae
Source: RNAcentral